RNAcentral lists this ribosomal RNA (447 nucleotides) under uncultured bacterium. Its description in RNAcentral is "SSU rRNA". It matches the Rfam family "Bacterial small subunit ribosomal RNA", at positions 26 to 518 of the family's 1533-position model. The record is from RNAcentral.
AGAGCGAACGCUGGCGGCAUGCUUAACACAUGCAAGUCGCACGGGCACUUCGGUGUCAGUGGCGGACGGGUGAGUAACGCGUAGGUAUCUAUCCUUGGGUGGGGGACAACUGUGGGAAACUACAGCUAAUACCGCAUGAUAACUGAGGUUUAAAGGCGCAAGUCGCCUGAGGAGGAGCCUGCGUACGAUUAGCUAGUUGGUGGGGUAAAGGCCUACCAAGGCGACGAUCGUUAGCUGGUCUGAGAGGAUGAUCAGCCACAUUGGGACUGAGACACGGCCCAAACUCCUACGGGAGGCAGCAGUGGGGAAUAUUGGACAAUGGGCGCAAGCCUGAUCCAGCAAUGCCGCGUGUGUGAAGAAGGUCUUCGGAUUGUAAAGCCCUUUCGACGGGGACGAUGAUGACGGUACCCGUAGAAGAAGCCCGGCUAACUUCGUGCCAGCAGCCGC